GGGAACUGGGGUUAUUUAAUCUGCAGAAGAGAAGAGUGAGGGAGGAUUUGAUAGCAGGCCUUCAAUUACCUGAAGAGUGGUUCCAAAGAAGAUGUAUCCAGACUGUUCUCAG
Long non-coding RNA from Gopherus evgoodei (Goodes thornscrub tortoise), 112 nucleotides. RefSeq lists it as uncharacterized. The transcript has 3 exons. The record is from RefSeq and is a predicted model, not a curated record. Lineage: Eukaryota; Metazoa; Chordata; Testudines; Testudinidae.